UGAUCUGCUGUUUCCAUCAAAAAUGAAGCUGAUUUUGGUCUUCAGUGCCCUCUUUGGCGCUGCCUUGUGCCUGGAAACAUUUGUUGGACACCAGGUUCUCUGAAUCAAGGCAAGCAAUGAGGAACAGAUUGAAAAAUUGCAGCUUUUGGAAACGCUGGAACAUCUUCAGCUGGAUUUCUGGUUAAACCCCUCGACCCCUGCUCACCCUGUGGAUGUCCGAGUCCCGUUUAACAGCCUCCAAGCCGUCA
Molecule: long non-coding RNA, 248 nt
Organism: Dromaius novaehollandiae (emu)
Lineage: Eukaryota; Metazoa; Chordata; Aves; Casuariiformes; Dromaiidae
Exons: 3
Source: RefSeq, a predicted model, not a curated record